GUGGGGAAUAUUGCGCAAUGGGCGAAAGCCUGACGCAGCGACGCCGCGUGAGGGAUGACGGCCUUCGGGUUGUAAACCUCUUUCAGUACCGACGAAGCGAGAGUGACGGUAGGUACAGAAGAAGCGCCGGCUAACUACGUGCCAGCAGCCGCGGUAAGACGUAGGGCGCGAGCGUUGUCCGGAUUUAUUGGGCGUAAAGGGCUCGUAGGCGGCUUGUCACGUCUGUCGUGAAAGACCGGGGCUUAACUCCGGUUUUGCGGUGGAUACGGGCAGGCUUGAGGCAAGUAGGGGAGAACGGAAUUCCACGUGUAGCGGUGAAAUGCGCAGAUAUGUGGAGGAACACCGGUGGCGAAGGCGGUUCUCUGGGCUUGUUCUGACGCUGAGGAGCGAAAGCGUGGGGAGCGAACAGGAUUAGAUACCCUUGUAGUCC
RNAcentral lists this ribosomal RNA (430 nucleotides) under uncultured bacterium. Its description in RNAcentral is "bacterial SSU rRNA". It matches the Rfam family "Bacterial small subunit ribosomal RNA", at positions 354 to 796 of the family's 1533-position model. The record is from RNAcentral.